AAGGUCAACCCUCUCUCCAGUGCUGUCACUUCAGAUAUGCUAGUACAUUAGUACUACUACUGUGAUAAUAAUGCAUUAUUGCACCAGUGAACAUAUCAUAUUGGACCCAGAUCUGGUGCCAAAUGGAGUUAGAAAAAUAAUGUACGUCCUAACUGUUGUAGCAUGCAUUGACUUUGGCAGGUUGAGGUCAUCGUGGUGAUUGGCCACAGCCGCUGCGGUGGAAUCAAGGCACUCCUCUCGCUCAAGGAUGGUGCAGAUGACAGCUUGUAAGUAUAGUAAAACACCUCAAAUCCCCACAGGGCGGUGAAUUACAGUAGUACAAAGCUUCUGUUGCUCUGUUAAUUCUGACUCGAGCUCUCCGGCCGUCUGUUUGAUCGUUCAGCCACUUCGUCGAGGACUGGGUCAGGAUCGGGUUCCCGGCCAAGAAGAAGGUGCAGACCGAGUGCGCCUCCAUGCCUUUCGAUGACCAAUGCGCCGUCUUGGAAAAGGUUCGUACGACCACAUGAUACUUUGUGAUGACUUGGCCACUGCUGGAAUACUCGAACUAUAUAUUCUGCUGACUUGCUGUGCUGACGAAGAAAAUAUUCUGGGAUUUCUACAGGAGGCCGUGAACGUGUCCCUCGAGAACCUCAAGACCUACCCGUUCGUCAAGGAAGGCGUCGCCAACGGAACCCUCAAGCUCGUGGGCGGCCACUACGACUUCGUCUCCGGCAAGUUCGACACAUGGGAGCUCUAAGUCCUCUCAUCCGGUUAACUCCUAUACAUACAACGUAUACUUAUACAUACAGAUAUGGAGAUGACCCUACAGAUCGAUCCAUUGAUGUGGAUGCGAUGCCAUGGAGUAUAUGUACUCGCUAUUUUCCAGUACUGCAUGCCGGAUGGCUCGAUGUGAAUUUGUAAUAAGCAAUAGAAGUUUCUACCAUUUUCUGACGUGGGGUUGUACUUGUGAUGCGUAAUUUGGUCAUCUUGUGACCAAAAGACAUCAACUAUAUAAUUAUAAUACCAUUUUCAUCAAGACUCUGUAUUUGUGUUACAUUGAGGGGUUUUAUAGGUACUCCAUAAAGACAGAUGAUAGUACCAUUCAAAUCUAACCCUCCAUUUAAUAGAAUAUAUUAGACAUU
This 1121-nucleotide long non-coding RNA is filed under the name Brachypodium distachyon (stiff brome). RNAcentral describes it as "long non-coding RNA (BDIS_LNC002531)". Lineage: Eukaryota; Viridiplantae; Streptophyta; Magnoliopsida; Poales; Poaceae. The record is from RNAcentral.